RNAcentral lists this small RNA (30 nucleotides) under Bombyx mori (domestic silkworm). Its description in RNAcentral is "ovarian small RNA-33549". The record is from RNAcentral. Lineage: Eukaryota; Metazoa; Arthropoda; Insecta; Lepidoptera; Bombycidae.
UGCAUACCUUGAAACGUGGGCUCCACGUUC